Urocitellus parryii (Arctic ground squirrel) is the source of this 677-nucleotide non-coding RNA. The record is from RefSeq and is a predicted model, not a curated record. Lineage: Eukaryota; Metazoa; Chordata; Mammalia; Rodentia; Sciuridae.
CCAAUGGGCAGUCCCAGGAUGGAGUCUGAAUCAACAAGGAACCUACACCUAGAGCCUCAACAUCACCAGGGAACUUGGCUGAAGGAGACUGGAAAUCUGGGGAGACAUGAGCCAGAAGUGACUGGAGCCACUGGCUCUGCCAAUGGAUCCACAUGGUGCCAUGUGCAGAAGAASUUCUCACAGAGAAAAGUUAAAGCACAACACUAGUUGUGACCUGCUCUGAUCACCAGGCAUCUGUGGGGACUGGAAGAAUCACCUCACAGUGGCCCAAGCUGAAGCCUUGGAUAAAUUAUACCAAGAGAAGAUGUUGGGUUUCCCCAAAGAGCUGUUCCCAUGGGAKUAGUGUCCAAAAAUUCUGGAUCUUUUAUAAAUACUAACAUUGUUUCCUGUCUUGGGAUAUUUACAGGAUUGGGAGGUUCUUAAUAUAAAAAACCAUUCUAUGAGAAAAGGAAGGAAAAGAUAGGAUAACAUAAAGAAGCAAUGAAAUAUAAAAUAAUAGAUGAGCAAAAGGAAGUCUAGUUGGUCAGAGGAAGGAGAAUGGGUAAGGGGGUACACAGGAGAGAAAGAGGGAUCGUGACAUAAAAUUGAUUGCAUGGAUUACUUUUUACUGAAGAACUCAACACUAUGUAUAACAAUACAGCUGUGUCAAAAAAAAAAAACCAAUUUGCCAUUCUGCU